UACGGUGGGGGCAAGCGUUGUUCGGAAUUACUGGGCGUAAAGGGCUCGCAGGCGGCCAACUAAGUCAGACGUGAAAUCCCUCGGCUUAACCGGGGAACUGCAUCUGAUACUGGAUGGCUUGAGUUCGGGAGAGGGAUGCGGAAUUCCAGGUGUAGCGGUGAAAUGCGUAGAUAUCUGGAGGAACACCGGUGGCGAAGGCGGCAUCCUGGACCGACACUGACGCUGAGGAGCGAAAGCCAGGGGAGCAAACGGG
Molecule: ribosomal RNA, 253 nt
Filed under: uncultured bacterium
Lineage: Bacteria
Description: partial 16S ribosomal RNA
Rfam family: Bacterial small subunit ribosomal RNA
Source: RNAcentral